CCCCGAUUCAUCGGGGGAGGCUUGACCCACAAAACGAACCUUGACCUCAAAUCGGUGAGACUACCCGCUGAACUUAAGCAUAUCAAUAAGCGGAGGAAAAGAAACUAACAAGGAUUCCCUAGUAACUGCGAGUGAAGCGGGAAAAGCUCAAAUUUAAAAUCUGGUGGCCUUUGGUCAUCCGAGUUGUAAUUUAGAGAAGCGUCUUCCGCGCUGGACCGUGCACAAGUCUCCUGGAAUGGAGCGUCAUAGAGGGUGAGAAUCCCGUCUUUGGCACGGACCCCAGGGCUUCUGUGAUGCGCUCUCGAAGAGUCGAGUUGUUUGGGAAUGCAGCUCAAAAUGGGUGGUGAACUCCAUCUAAAGCUAAAUAUUGGCGAGAGACCGAUAGCGAACAAGUACCGUGAGGGAAAGAUGAAAAGCACUUUGGAAAGAGAGUGAAACAGUACGUGAAAUUGUUGAAAGGGAAACGCUUGAAGUCAGUCGCGUCGCCCGAGACUCAGCCUUGCCUUGGCUUGGUGUAUUUCUCGGCUGACGGGUCAGCAUCAAUUUUGCCCCUUGGAUAAUGGCGAGGGAAAUGUGACACCUUUGCGGGUGUGUUAUAGUCCCCUGUCGCAUGCAAGGGUCGGGAUUGAGGAACUCAGCACGCACCUUUUGGUGUCGGGGCCUUUGCCCACGAUACGUGCUUAGGAUGUUGGCGUAAUGGCUUUAACGACCG
Molecule: ribosomal RNA, 712 nt
Filed under: Russula sp. WT12
Lineage: Eukaryota; Fungi; Basidiomycota; Agaricomycetes; Russulales; Russulaceae
Description: eukaryotic LSU rRNA
Rfam family: Eukaryotic large subunit ribosomal RNA
Source: RNAcentral